RNAcentral lists this ribosomal RNA (378 nucleotides) under uncultured archaeon. Its description in RNAcentral is "bacterial SSU rRNA". It matches the Rfam family "Archaeal small subunit ribosomal RNA", at positions 691 to 1068 of the family's 1478-position model. The record is from RNAcentral.
CCGACGGUGAGAGGUGAAAGCUGGGGGAGCAAACCGGAUUAGAUACCCGGGUAGUCCCAGCUGUAAACGAUGCGCGUUAGGUGUAUCAGUGACCACGAGUCACUGAGGUGCCGAAGAGAAAUCGUGAAACGUGCCGCCUGGGAAGUACGGUCGCAAGGCUGAAACUUAAAGGAAUUGGCGGGGGAGCACCACAACAGGUGGAGCCUGCGGUUUAAUCGGACUCAACGCCGGGAAACUCACCAGUUAAGACAGCUGAAUGAUAGUCGGGCUGAAGACUCUACUUGACUAGCUGAGAGGAGGUGCAUGGCCGUCGUCAGUUCGUACUGUGAAGCAUCCUGUUAAGUCAGGCAACGAGCGAGACCCACGCCAACAGUUGCU